UGGGCUCUGGUACUUGUGGUCUAGUAUUCCUCGGUUCUGGUACUCGUGCUCUACUAUCCCUCAGUUCAGGUACUCGUGGUCUACUAUCCCUUGGUUCAGGUACUCGUGGUCUACUAUCCCUCGGCUCUGGUACUCGUGGUCUAGUAUCCCUCUGAUCAGGUAUGUCAUGUCGUGAACUGGGGCUUUCUGUUGAAGACUGAGCAGGCCUAGACAGGAAAUCACGAAGAUCCACCCCAUUCUGCUGGCCAUUGCUUUGAAC
RNAcentral lists this long non-coding RNA (259 nucleotides) under Capsicum annuum. Its description in RNAcentral is "long non-coding RNA (CANN_LNC017725)". The record is from RNAcentral. Lineage: Eukaryota; Viridiplantae; Streptophyta; Magnoliopsida; Solanales; Solanaceae.